UGGAAGGGGCGGGGGAGGCGCAAAGGGCGCGCUCCGGAGUCACGUGACCGGGACGCGCCGUUCUUCCGUCGGCCAUUUUAGGUGGUCCGCGGCGGCGCCAUUAAAGCGAGGAGGAGGCGAGAGUGGCCGCCGCUGCUACUUAUUCUUUUUUUUCAGUGCAGCCGGGGAGAGUGAGAGUGCGCGCCGCGCGAGAGUGGGAGGCAGGGGGGCAGGCCGGGGAGAGGCGCAGGAGCCUUCGCAGCCACGCGCGCGCCUUGUCUUGUGUGCCUCGCGAGGUAGAGCGGGCGCGCGGCGGCGGCGGCGGCGGCGGCAGCGGCAGCGGCGGGGAUUACUUUGCUGCUAGUUUCGGUUCGCGGCGGCGGCGGGUGUCGUCUCGGCGGCGGCGGAGGCAGUAGCACUAUGUCGGAGGAGCAGUUCGGAGGGGACGGGGCGGCGGCGGCGGCGACCACGGCGGCGGUAGGCGGCUCGGCGGGCGAGCAGGAGGGAGCCAUAGUGGCGGCGGCGGCGCAGGGGGCAGCGGCGGCGGCGGGAAGCGGGAGCGGCGGCGGCUCUGCGGCCGGAGGCACCGAAGGAGGCAGCGCCGAGGCCGAGGGAGCCAAGAUCGACGCCAGUAAGAACGAGGAGGAUGAAGGCCAUUCAAACUCCUCCCCACGACACACUGAAGCAGCGACGGCACAGCGGGAAGAAUGGAAAAUGUUCAUAGGAGGCCUUAGCUGGGACACCACAAAGAAAGAUCUGAAGGACUACUUUUCCAAAUUUGGUGAAGUUGUAGACUGCACUCUGAAGUUAGAUCCUAUCACAGGGCGAUCAAGGGGUUUUGGCUUUGUGCUAUUUAAAGAGUCGGAGAGUGUAGAUAAGGUCAUGGAUCAGAAAGAACAUAAAUUGAAUGGGAAAGUCAUCGAUCCUAAAAGGGCCAAAGCCAUGAAAACAAAAGAGCCAGUCAAAAAAAUUUUUGUUGGUGGCCUUUCUCCAGACACACCGGAAGAAAAAAUAAGAGAGUACUUUGGUGGUUUUGGUGAGGUUGAAUCCAUAGAGCUCCCUAUGGACAACAAGACCAAUAAGAGGCGUGGGUUCUGUUUUAUUACCUUUAAGGAAGAGGAACCAGUGAAGAAGAUAAUGGAAAAGAAAUACCACAAUGUUGGUCUUAGUAAAUGUGAAAUAAAGGUAGCCAUGUCAAAGGAACAGUAUCAGCAGCAGCAGCAAUGGGGAUCUAGAGGAGGGUUUGCAGGAAGAGCUCGCGGAAGAGGUGGUGGCCCCAGUCAAAACUGGAACCAGGGAUAUAGUAACUAUUGGAAUCAAGGCUAUGGCAACUAUGGAUAUAACAGCCAAGGUUACGGUGGUUAUGGAGGAUAUGACUACACUGGUUACAACAACUACUAUGGAUAUGGUGAUUAUAGCAAUCAGCAGAGUGGUUAUGGGAAAGUAUCCAGGCGAGGUGGACAUCAAAAUAGCUACAAACCAUACUAAAUUAUUCCAUUUGCAACUUAUCCCCAACAGCGGGAACUUCAUUGCAGGCCCUGUGUCGCGCUGACUUCACGAUUCUCACAGGCCCGCUCAAUGCGGACAGGGUACGAGAUGCUCACGCUCUCGAAUGCUGCCGUUUGGUGGUGAAGCAGUAUUUUCCAAUUUGAAGAUUCAUUUGAAGGUGGCUCCUGCCACCUGCUAAUAGCAGUUCAAACUAAAUUUUUUCUAUCAAGUUCCCGAAUGGAAGUAUGACGUUGGGUCCCUCUGAAGUUUAAUUCUGAGUUCUCAUUAAAAGAAUUUGCUUUCAUUGUUUUAUUUCUUAAUUGCUAUGCUUCAGUAUCAAUUUGUGUUUUAUGCCCUCCCCCUCCCCCCAGUAUUGUAGAGCAAGUCUUGUGUUAAAAGCCCAGUGUGACAGUGUCAUGAUGUAGUAGUGUCUUACUGGUUUUUUAAUAAAUCCUUUUGUAUAAAAAUGUAUUGGCUCUUUUAUCAUCAGAAUAGGAAAAAGUGAAAUACUACAAAUGUUUGUCUUGGAUUUAAGUCACUAGAAGCGCAUAAGUUUGAGGGGGAAAAACAGGAAACUUUGUCUUGAAAGAGGGUUAAAAAUGUAGUGAAUUUUAAAUGUUUUUAGCAGAAUCUGAUAUGCCCAAAUCCCUGUCUGAAUUGGAAAUGACUUAAUGUAGCCAAUUUGCUUGUUGGUUGUUUUAAUACUACUUUUGUAGCCAUUAAGUUAUAUGAGUAACUUCCCAAAUAACCCCUUUUUUCUUUAUAUGUAUUAUGCUUUUUAAAACAGAUCUGGAAAAAUGUGCAAGAACAUUUGCACAGACAAAUGUUUUUAAGUUUCCAUUAAAUAAAAAAAAAGUGGACUUAAGGAAAUCUGUUAAAUAGAACUGCAGCUAGUUUAGAGAGUAUUUUUUUCUUAAAGCUUUGGUGUAAUUAGAUAAUUUCAAGUGUUGAGGGAAGAUUUUUUUAGAAUUCAGUGUUUGUAUAUGUGCUCUUGUUUGAUUUUUGUUUUCUUUUUAAGUCAGUUUUUUUGGGGGUACUUUUGUUAAUUGAGCCUAGGAUUUAAAGGUAAGAUGUUCCUAGAAGUUUUGUCAUCGUAAGGGGAUGUGUUAAGGUGUAACGUCAGGAAUAAGUCAGGACCACUGCUUUAUGUGUGAAAUUAUUCAAAUUGGUAAGUCUCUUAUGCUUCUAGCAUUCAGGGCAUUGAUUUCAACUAGGAUGGACAAUUUAUAGUUACUACUGAAAUGUAUGUUAAUGUGUUCAGUUCUGGUAAGUUUUAAGUUUGAUCAGUUAAUUGGAACCAGACUUGAGAAUAGCUGUUAGAAAGUCACAUGAGAAAUGGCUGCAGCAAUUCUAUGGUCAGAUUCCUGAGUUUGUGGUAGUGAAUUGUGUCUUAAGAAUUUGACCUCCCCACAAGAUACUUUAAUGAUAAAAGUCAGUGCUGUAAAGUUGAAAGUUUAUGAGAGAUACCUACAAUGAGGGCUGCUGCCCAUUUUAACAAGCAUUGCAAUACAAAAGUAUGCCCAUUUGUUUACAUACUCCUGCCUUUGUAUUACAGUGGCAGGUUUGUAUACUUAAACUGGGAAAGCCUCAGAUAUAUAAUUACCUGGUCUAUCAUAGAAAGUUGUUAUUCUGUGUCUAAAUAAAUCACUUGGUCAGUUGAAUACAUUAGCUAGUAUUAGCUAGCAUACUUUAUUAUGCUUGUUUUGCAUAAAUAUCACACCAAAAACUUGCUUGAGUUAACAUUGACAAUUUGAGCCUAGUUCAUGAGUUACUAUCAGAUUGGUCUUGAUUCUGUAAUAGGUCAAGUGUCUAUAAACAGCUAUGAUGGUGGAGAGUAGAAAGUCACUGCACUCAGAUUCAACAUCCUGAUUGGAAGUCAUCACAGUGUGACUGUAAACAUUUCACAAAGAAUAGUAGAUAAAUAAGUUGGUUUUUAUGUUAACUUUGUUUCCAUUAAGUCACAUUUAAAAACCUAUCUUCACACCUAUUUAAGUUAAAUAACUGUUGACCUAGACAUUUUUCUGGCCACUGAUUUAUUUCUUGAACUUUUGCCAUUUGUAUAAAUCUUGUCAGCUUUUCUUGAUUAUGUAUCUUCCAGUCUGAGCUAGUUCCCUUUUCAGGAAUUCCCUUCAUCUCAAUUAGGUCCUUUGUCUCCUAAAUCAUUCGGCCUGUUUGGACAGGCCUAACAUUGAGACCUUGGUGUCUUCAACACCAUAGUUGUAUCCCUAGGUAGGUUGGACAGAGAGGGAGUUUGUUAAUUUGAAUCUAGGUCUUACAUGAAGUCUUUUAAGGAUUUUUACCUUGUCACUAAACUUGUCUAGUCUAAGCACCCAGUGGCCUCUCUGUGUGAACUUAAUCUUCAGUUCUAGGAAAUGUGAAUGAAUUAUGAACUAGUUCCUGCGAUGGGUUUUCACAUUCUUUUGUUAUUUUUUUUUGAUUGUUUUAGUUCUUUGUUAUUGGUCACUAGCCCUAGGCAAAAACUUCCCUACUUCUAGUUUUUACAAUUUAAAGACAAAAUUCAUCUUAGAAUUUCUCUUUCCCAACUAAGUGUCUUUCCCACUAAGUAUCUUAAGUGUACUCUUCAUCUUUUUCUCCUCUGAGGCUUUUACUGAUGGCAUAAUCCUGUACUCUCAACCCAAGGCUGACCUGGGCAUCGGCAAAGACCCAUCUUAGAACUCAUGGAAAGCGAUCUUACUUUACAUCCUGUUGCUUCUACUUAAGUUUUCAGUGGAUGUGAAGUGAUCCUUUGCUUCCAAUGAGUACUUUAAAAUGAACCUCUAGAUAGAUAUUUUUUAUUCUCUGGUGAGGGUUACUGGAGUUUCCCACCCUGCCUGAAGGGUAAGUCAGGCUUGCAGUGUUCUCAUCUCAAAGGGAAAAGAAGGCAGAUGGAUGUGUCCAGAGAGCACCAUCACAGUUGCUUCAGAGACACUAGAAUGGGCAAGUCUGGUGGCUGCUGGGAAGAUCUGGUGGUCUUAGACUUGAAACCUAUCCUUUCUUCAUUACCCAUAUGUACCACUUACUCCAGUAAGGACUUUGUAGGGGUUUUGAGACCCCUCCUUGCUGACAAACACAGUUUUCUUAACAUUUGCUCAUAAACGUUGAAAGCUUAUUUCCUCUUAAAUCCUCCCACCCCACAUUUAACGCCCUGGUACUUAGUAGAAUUUCAGAAGAGUAGUGUUUGUGUGUGUGUGUGUGUGUGUGUGUGUGUGUGUGUGUGUGUGUGUGUGUGUAGAGAGGUUGAUGAAAAGUUUGAGGAAAAUCAGGUAAAAUGUUGACAGCUCAUUAUCCUUUUAGAAUUGUACUUCAGUAUAGAAACGUUUGGUGGACUGUAGGGUAGCUUUGAUUUUACUUCUGGGUAGACCUGCUAGUGAUGCCAAUCCUCAAGCAAUGAGCUUUCUGUAUCUUUGUUUACUAAGUAUCCACUACCAGGUGAGUCAUUUCUCUUCCUGGGGUUCUGUUUUCUCCUUUUAAGAUCUUACUUAAACUUAAUAUGUGUGUAAGUUUGGCCUUUCGGUCUCUUCUUUGUGCACUGGGAUGACAAUUGCUUCAUUACAUGCUGUUCCCAAGUCAGAAUUCAGUGUGUUGAUUUGACAUCUGUUUGUCCUGAAUAAGUUCCAGUUACCAGGAUUUACAUCCUACACAUUAGAAACUAUUCGUGUGCUUUAAUUCUUGGAGCUUUUUCCUUUAGUUUAUACUACCUUCUAUUUUGAGUAUUGUGUUUAGGAUGUUGAGGUAUUAGGAUUCUUGACAACCAGAAAAACUGUACCCACUAUCUAGCACAGUAUUUGUGUUGAUCUAGAAAUGUGUGCUUUUUUGAUUUGGGGUUGUUUUAACCUACAUUGUCAAACUAUAGAUCCAUACAUAACAGUGAUAAUGAGGUUUUUGUUGUUGUAUUUUGUUUUUUUAAACCCAAGACAGGGUUUCUCUGUGUAGGCUGUCCUGGAACUUGUUCUGUAGACCAGGCUGGCCUUGAACUCACAGAGAUCCUGUUUCUGCCUCCCCAGUGCUGGGAUUAAAUUUGCAUGUUUUUUGUUUGCUUUUGUUUUUUGUUUUUAACCAAAAUUUGGCAAGGCUGAAAAUGGAAUCAUAUAUUCACUGCUGGCCACAUUAAAGUUGUUAACAGUUGAGAAGUCUUGUCUGAAUUUCCUUGGGUAAAAAGAUUCUAGCCAGUUAAAUACCCUGUUGUGCAAAUUCAGUUUGUUGUUAUAAUUUGCUCUCAGUUACCUGUAAUCUAGUAAGUUGGAAGGAGGUUAAUUAUAAAAAGAGGCCUGUAGACCAUCUACAACUGCAUCAGUUGUACAGCAUUGUUGCCUGGGAUUCUUUAUUUCACAUAAACUCCCAAGUGUUAGCUAUGGUAAUGGCUCUAGUGUGGAAGGAAAAUAUUCAAAAGAUUGUUAGCAUUCUAGUGAGUAUACAUGAUGACAGCAGUGAGUGGGGGAAGAACAGCAAGUGGCCAUGGUUAGGGGCUUACUGACCUUGUGGCUUUUAAGUUCUAUAGGCAGUACACACUUCUGUAUGCACCUUGAUCCUUAAUAGUUACUUGAUUUACUGCAUUGUGGAUUAGCUGGCUGACUCUAAUUGUCUUGUUACUAUCUUGCUAUUGAAGUCUUGAGUUGGGCUCAUUAUGCAUUUACCCUGUUGACUUGAGCACCUUAGAGUCUCAAGGAUGUCUGGUUGUGGCUUUAUUGUAAACAGCCUUAGGUAUAGAGGGGACUAUGUCAUUUAGGAAGGUGAAAGAUGAUACUUCCAAAGACCUUUGAAAAUAGCAUAAGGAGGGAAGCCCUGGGUUUAUCCCCCAAUUUAAGAAAGAAUGCUUAACAAUGUUUCAGAACUAGAUUCUGUAGAAGGUGAGGGUGUUAGAACAGUCCAAAUUUGUUAUUGUAAACUUACAGUAGGAGGAAUUUUAAAAUAUACAGAUCGUCACUUCAUUAACUUCACUGAUACAGGUGGAAAAUGAUGUUGGCAACACUUCAGAGUUAAUUUGUAUAUGUUUGUAAUUUGAUUGGUUGUAUUCUGUUGCACUCUAGAAUUUGAAGGCAAGGUUACCUUGGCUUUUUAAUUUUUUUUUUUUUAAAACAAACUUCAAGAGAUCUGUUAAUACUAGUACCUGAAUGUGGCAUUUAACAUGUCAUGGAAACUGCUUUGAAUAAAUACUUGAGAAAAGGAAUUAAAUAAUUGCUGUUUUUGUUGUAUGAAUGGGUGUGCUUAUGCUGAGCUUAAUUACAUUUUUAUAAAACAGGUAUGAGACUGAAGUGGAAUCCUUAUUAAAUGUGGAAAAUGGCCUUUGAGUAUUACAGUAGAGAUUUAGCUAAAAGAGUAAAUAAAACUUUGAAACAAAUUUGUUGUAAAUUGCUUCUACAAUCAUUGAUCUAUAAAGCAUGCUAUUGCCAAGUUUUAUGUAUUAAGACCUAUUAGCAUGUCCUUUUUAGUACUUGGUUGACUUCAUUUUAAAUUAUAAGAUGUCUCUGUACCGUUUAACAUUUCCAGGACUUAUUCUUUCCAGGCAAAUUCCAUUGGGACUGUUUCCAUUGUAGAAGCUUCCUUAUAGAUUCUUCAAAUGAAGCUUACAGUGCGCUUUCAUGGGGUUUUAAUUUGCAUUAAAUUUUAUUUUCUGAAAGAUCAUUUAUGUUUAUAAUGUAGUGCUUUGUCUUACAAUUAAACUCUUCAGCAC
RNA transcript from Mastomys coucha (southern multimammate mouse), 7138 nucleotides. It is a transcript of the gene named heterogeneous nuclear ribonucleoprotein D, with no coding region annotated. The record is from RefSeq and is a predicted model, not a curated record. The transcript has 10 exons. NCBI's taxonomy places the organism in Eukaryota, Metazoa, Chordata, Mammalia, Rodentia, Muridae.